GUGCUUAUCACAUGCAAGUCGAACGAUCCUUCGGGAUAGUGGCGGACGGGUGAGUAACGCGUGGGAAUCUGCCCUUAGGAGGGGGAUAACGGCUGGAAACGGCCGCUAAUACCCCAUAUGCCGAGAGGUGAAAUGAAUUUCGCCUGAGGAUGAGCCCGCGUCUGAUUAGCUAGUUGGUGGGGUAAAGGCCUACCAAGGCGACGAUCAGUAGCUGGUCUGAGAGGAUGAUCAGCCACACUGGGACUGAGACACGGCCCAGACUCCUACGGGAGGCAGCAGUGGGGAAUUUUCCGCAAUGGGCGAAAGCCUGACGGAGCAACGCCGCGUGAGGGAUGAAGGCCUCUGGGCUGUAAACCUCUUUUCUCAAGGAAGAAGAACUGACGGUACUUGAGGAAUAAGCCACGGCUAAUUCCGUGCCAGCAGCCGCGGUAAUACGGGAGUGGCAAGCGUUAUCCGGAAUUAUUGGGCGUAAAGCGUCCGCAGGCGGCCUUGUAAGUCUGUUGUUAAAGCGUGGAGCUCAACUCCAUUUAAGCAAUGGAAACUACAAGGCUGGAGUGUGGUAGGGGCAGAGGGAAUUCCCGGUGUAGCGGUGAAAUGCGUAGAUAUCGGGAAGAACACCAGUGGCGAAGGCGCUCUGCUGGGCCAUAACUGACGCUCAUGGACGAAAGCCAGGGGAGCGAAAGGGAUUAGAUACCCCUGUAGUCCUGGCCGUAAACGAUGAACACUAGGUGUCGGGGGAAUCGACCCCCUCGGUGUCGUAGCCAACGCGUUAAGUGUUCCGCCUGGGGAGUACGCACGCAAGUGUGAAACUCAAAGGAAUUGACGGGGGCCCGCACAAGCGGUGGAGUAUGUGGUUUAAUUCGAUGCAACGCGAAGAACCUUACCAGGGUUUGACAUCCUGCGAAUCCCUUGGAAACGAGGGAGUGCCUUCGGGAGCGCAGUGACAGGUGGUGCAUGGCUGUCGUCAGCUCGUGUCGUGAGAUGUUGGGUUAAGUCCCGCAACGAGCGCAACCCACGUCUUUAGUUGCCAGCAUUCAGUUGGGCACUCUAGAGAGACCGCCGGUGAUAAACCGGAGGAAGGUGUGGAUGACGUCAAGUCAUCAUGCCCCUUACAUCCUGGGCUACACACGUACUACAAUGCUACGGACAAAGGGCAGCAAGCUCGCGAGAGUUAGCAAAUCCCAUAAACCGUGGCUCAGUUCAGAUCGUAGGCUGCAACUCGCCUACGUGAAGGAGGAAUUGCUAGUAAUCGCAGGUCAGCAUACUGCGGUGAAUACGUUCCCGGGCCUUGUACACACCGCCCGUCACACCAUGGAAGUUGGCCAUGCCCGAAGUCGUUACUCCAACCCUUGUGGAGGAGGACGCCGAAGGUGGGGCUGAUGACUGGGGUGAAGUC
This 1396-nucleotide ribosomal RNA is filed under the name metagenome. RNAcentral's name for it is "bacterial SSU rRNA". It matches the Rfam family "Bacterial small subunit ribosomal RNA". The record is from RNAcentral.